Molecule: transfer RNA, 76 nt
Filed under: Nocardia sp. CS682
Lineage: Bacteria; Bacillati; Actinomycetota; Actinomycetes; Mycobacteriales; Nocardiaceae
Description: tRNA-Arg
Rfam family: tRNA
About the family: Transfer RNA (tRNA) molecules are approximately 80 nucleotides in length.
Source: RNAcentral
GCCCUCGUAGCUCAGGGGAUAGAGCGUCUGCCUCCGGAGCAGAAGGCCGCAGGUUCGAAUCCUGCCGAGGGCACCG